CUGCUGUUUGCGAGCGCUGAUAUCAUAAGGGUAAUCUAGUCUUUUUUUUAAAACGACAUGUCAUCCCAUUUACCUAGUAAAAAACGACAUGUCAUAUGAUAUAUUUUGAUAAAAAUGACAUGUCAUCCCAUUUAUCGGAUAAUUGUUAAUAAUUGCUAAAAAAAAAGCUACUUUACAACCGAAUAUACUCCUCCAAAAUUUAACCUAAAUUAUUGAAGAUCU
RNAcentral lists this long non-coding RNA (222 nucleotides) under Citrus sinensis (sweet orange). Its description in RNAcentral is "long non-coding RNA (CSIN_LNC004623)". Lineage: Eukaryota; Viridiplantae; Streptophyta; Magnoliopsida; Sapindales; Rutaceae. The record is from RNAcentral.